CUCCUUUCCUCCACCAGGGUGUGACAGGUAGGUGCAGCUGCACAACUGCACUGCAUCAAGAGCAAUCACUGAGGUGCCUCUUAAGCAGCUGAGACCUUAAAGGAGGCGUUGGAUUGUUUACCCUGCUGAGUGGUUGCUGUCAACAAGACCCUGUUCUGGAUAAAUCCUCUGUGGUUCUGGUUUACCUUGCUGGUUGUCAUCAAACCUGCUUCUUGGAGAACCCGCUAUGGUUCAGCCUCUUGCCCAUGGUAAAUACUUCAAUGAAUUUACCUCAGUCCAAGGACCGUUCUGGAUCUACACGAUUCGAGUUUCAAGAUCGCUUCAUCUGCCCCGCCUGUCCACUCUCCAAUGCUAUUCACCAUCUGGAGGAAUUUGCUCGCACAGCACACUUGUCUGUCGGCCUCAGUCUCAGUGGCUUGUUUAUGUCUCCUCAGACCCAACACACUCCUCUACUAGUUGCCUGGAACUCUUACAUUUAACAUUAAGAACCACCUGCCUGAUGGUAACCGCUCUGUCUUUCUCCUAGUGAACCGAUCCUUGAAGCCCGCUUUCUACGGAAUCCUGAGACUGCCCAAAAAACACUAUUUCAAUAAACUUGUUUUAACCUU
Long non-coding RNA from Girardinichthys multiradiatus, 608 nucleotides. RefSeq lists it as uncharacterized. The record is from RefSeq and is a predicted model, not a curated record. The transcript has 2 exons. Lineage: Eukaryota; Metazoa; Chordata; Actinopteri; Cyprinodontiformes; Goodeidae.